UGCCCUUUCAACCUUGCACAGCUGUCUGCAAGUGUACCGAGCAGUGCAAUGUUGAAAAAGGGCAUUGGUU
MicroRNA precursor from Eptatretus burgeri (inshore hagfish), 70 nucleotides. The record is from Ensembl. NCBI's taxonomy places the organism in Eukaryota, Metazoa, Chordata, Myxini, Myxiniformes, Myxinidae.